Molecule: long non-coding RNA, 526 nt
Filed under: Rattus norvegicus (Norway rat)
Lineage: Eukaryota; Metazoa; Chordata; Mammalia; Rodentia; Muridae
Description: long non-coding RNA NONRATT002663
Source: RNAcentral
UCACAGGUGGGGAUACUGUUUACCUGGCUAACUUUACCCAGCCCAGCUCCCCUUUCCAUAAGGUUUUCAAGCCAGAAGCAGCUUAUCUGCCUGAGUGGGUGGGCAUUGCUGCUGAUCUGGAACAGCCAAACAGAGGAGCCCCUGGCCAUGCCUCAGCAAGAGCCCCCAAGAGUCACCAGAGGACCUUGCUGUAGUGCACAUGCUCAGAGGGGCGGUGGGGGGGAGGGUAUGUUGUUGUCGUGCUCGUGCUCGUGCUCGGGACCUCACAGGGAUUCCCAGUUCUGUUUUGCAUGCUUCUCAGCUGAGUGAUUGCAGGUCAAUGAUGUCACCUCACUGCCUUCCUGAAACUCUGAGCACAGCCUGGACUUAGCUCAGCAGCAACAGCACAGGUACUUUGAGCUCCUCCAUGCCCACACUGUUAGCCAUCAUAGGCCUAACAUUGGCUGCAUCUGGAGUGCUGUGUCACGGAGGCCAGUGUGUAGUUAGGGUUUCUGCGGCUCUGAUAAAACACCAUGGCCAUGGACAA